GGUUCAACGGGAUAUUGGUCCGGUUCAAUAAGAAAGCAAGGCUUAAAAUGUUGAGUCUUGGUUUUUGAUUGAGCCGUGCCAAUAUCACGUCCUCUCCG
RNAcentral lists this microRNA precursor (98 nucleotides) under Trifolium pratense (red clover). The record is from RNAcentral. Lineage: Eukaryota; Viridiplantae; Streptophyta; Magnoliopsida; Fabales; Fabaceae.